Molecule: ribozyme, 121 nt
Filed under: Aedes aegypti (yellow fever mosquito)
Lineage: Eukaryota; Metazoa; Arthropoda; Insecta; Diptera; Culicidae
Description: drz-agam-1 ribozyme
Rfam family: drz-agam-1 ribozyme
Source: Rfam by way of RNAcentral
UGCCCAGCAGCUCCAAUCCCUACCUACUCGCGGUACUGGCCGGGGUACGAGUAACCUUAGUAAAAAAAGAUCGGGUAACCAACCCCAGUGGGAACUCUGGUCGUAUGCUGACAGGGAAUGG